CCUACGGGAGGCAGCAGUGGGGAAUAUUGCACAAUGGGCGAAAGCCUGAUGCAGCAACGCCGCGUGAAGGACGACGGUUUUCGGAUUGUAACCUUCUGUUCUUAGUGAAGAAUAAUGACGGUAACUCAGGCGCCAGCCACUGCUAACUACGUGCCAGCAGCCGCGGUCAUACGGAGGUGGCAAGCGUUGUCCGGCAUUACUGGGUGUAAAGGGAGCGUAGGCGGGAAGCCAAGUCAGCUGUGAAAACUACGGGCUUAACCUGUAGACUGCAGUUGAAACUGGCUUUCUUGAGUGAAGUAGAGGUUGGCGGAAUUCCGGGUGUAGCGGUGAAAUGCGUAGAUAUUCGGAGGAACACCGGUGGCGAAGGCGGCCAACUGGGCUUUAACUGACGCUGAGGCUCGAAAGUGUGGGGAGCAAACAGGAUUAGAUACCCCAGUAGUC
This 441-nucleotide ribosomal RNA is filed under the name uncultured bacterium. Its description in RNAcentral is "partial 16S ribosomal RNA". It matches the Rfam family "Bacterial small subunit ribosomal RNA", at positions 338 to 795 of the family's 1533-position model. The record is from RNAcentral.